Molecule: ribosomal RNA, 492 nt
Filed under: uncultured bacterium
Lineage: Bacteria
Description: partial 16S ribosomal RNA
Rfam family: Bacterial small subunit ribosomal RNA
Source: RNAcentral
AGUGAACGCUGGCGGUAGGCCUAACACAUGCAAGUCGAACGGCAGCACAGUAAGAGCUUGCUCUUACGGGUGGCGAGUGGCGGACGGGUGAGGAAUACAUCGGAAUCUACUUUUUCGUGGGGGAUAACGUAGGGAAACUUACGCUAAUACCGCAUACGACCUACGGGUGAAAGCAGGGGAUCUUCGGACCUUGCGCGAUUGAAUGAGCCGAUGUCGGAUUAGCUAGUUGGCGGGGUAAAGGCCCACCAAGGCGACGAUCCGUAGCUGGUCUGAGAGGAUGAUGAGCCACACUGGAACUGAGACACGGUCCAGACUCCUACGGGAGGCAGCAGUGGGGAAUAUUGGACAAUGGGCGCAAGCCUGAUCCAGCUAUACCGCGUGGGUGAAGAAGGCCUUCGGGUUGUAAAGCCCUUUUGUUGGGAAAGAAAAGCAGCAGGUUAAUACCCCGCUGUUCUGACGGUACCCAAAGAAUAAGCACCGGCUAACUUCGUG